Molecule: long non-coding RNA, 524 nt
Organism: Pezoporus flaviventris
Lineage: Eukaryota; Metazoa; Chordata; Aves; Psittaciformes; Psittacidae
Exons: 3
Source: RefSeq, a predicted model, not a curated record
AGGUCUGUAGGGAUUAUGUGGCCACGUUCCUGAGCUUCCACCCGCUUUUGAAGUAGGCUAUGACUUGGAAAUGAGUUUAUCCUUGUUGACAGCUUGUUCUAGCUCUUGAUAUGAAGCUAUGGAAAGUCUCUUCACAUCCAGAAAUGAAAGGCCUGCUGUUGGUCACCCCACAUCUGAAAGAUGCUAUGGUCCCACCACUUUGCAAGUCUAGUAGGAAUUAUAAACGUCCAUAUUACUGGUGAGGUACUGAGUCCAAAAACAACCAUUAGCAAGCUUUGGCAUGGAUGAUAUGUGCCAAAUGGCUAUAGCAGGUGUAACACUGAAGAUACAGAAGGAACAGACCUGAGGAAGAAGAAAGUACCAUUUUCAAACAGUUUCCAUAGAAGAGCUGUAGUUCUAUAUGUACCUGGCAUAUACAGGAAAGCAGAAAUGUCAUACAUUUGAUUAGCAUACAGAAAGCACAUGAGCUGGAUGUACACUGACAUUGGCUUGACUUUCUAAUUUCAAUCUGCUGCUAACUGAAG